This 406-nucleotide ribosomal RNA is filed under the name uncultured bacterium. RNAcentral describes it as "partial 16S ribosomal RNA". It matches the Rfam family "Bacterial small subunit ribosomal RNA", at positions 30 to 526 of the family's 1533-position model. The record is from RNAcentral.
AUUGAACGCUGGCGGCAGGCCUAACACAUGCAAGUCGAACGAGUGGCGGACGGGUGAGUAAUGCUUGGGAAUCUGCCUGAUGGAGGGGGAUAACUACUGGAAACUGUAGCUAAUACCGCAUACCAUAAGAUGAGCCCAGGGGGGAUUAGCUAGUUGGUGAGGUAACGGCUCACCAAGGCGACGAUCCCUAGCUGGUCUGAGAGGAUGACCAGCCACACUGGUACUGAGACACGGCCCAGACUCCUACGGGAGGCAGCAGUGGGGAAUAGUGCGCAAUGGGGGCAAGCCUGACGCAGCCAUGCCGCGUGAAUGAAGAAGGCCUUCGGGUUGUAAAGUUCUUUCGGUAGCGAGGCGUUACCCGCAGAAGAAGCACCGGCUAACUCCGUGCCAGCAGCCGCGGUAAUAC